Molecule: transfer-messenger RNA, 396 nt
Filed under: Legionellaceae
Lineage: Bacteria; Pseudomonadati; Pseudomonadota; Gammaproteobacteria; Legionellales
Also listed under: 1 other name
Description: Tatlockia sp013812775 Standard tmRNA
Rfam family: transfer-messenger RNA
About the family: Bacterial tmRNA, also known as 10Sa RNA or SsrA, is named for its dual tRNA and mRNA-like properties. Its role is to liberate the mRNA from a stalled ribosome. To accomplish this part of the tmRNA is used as a reading frame that ends in a translation stop signal.
Source: RNAcentral
GGGGGCGACCUGGCUUCGACGUGGGUUGCGAAACCUGAAGUGCAUGCCGAGAAUGAGAAACUCUCGUAAAUCAGACUCACUAAACAUAAAUGCAAACGAUGAAAACUUUGCAGGUGAAGCUAUAGCAGCGUAAGCUCUUAUAGUUAAACCGCACCGCGUGCUGCCAUAAAACCAGCACCCCGUUGACCGAGCUCUCUUAUCGGUAUCGAAUCAACGGUCAUAGAAGAUAAGAUCGCAUCUUGAUAGGUCCCGCAUCAAGCUGUUAAAUCCAGGGAAUCGCCAUGUACCAUCCUGCCUAUCGGAGGGGCCAUGGUUAAAUUAAAUGACAAGGCUACGCAUGUAGAUCUGACGGCAGAGGAUUUGCGGACGCGGGUUCAAUCCCCGCCGCCUCCACCA